Long non-coding RNA from Selaginella moellendorffii, 956 nucleotides. RefSeq lists it as uncharacterized. NCBI's taxonomy places the organism in Eukaryota, Viridiplantae, Streptophyta, Lycopodiopsida, Selaginellales, Selaginellaceae. The transcript is spliced from 3 exons. The record is from RefSeq and is a predicted model, not a curated record.
UCGAGACGAAGAAGAAAUCCAGGGAUCCAGGGAAGAAAGCCGACCGCUAUUGCAAGUAAGCCUGGGCAGCUUAGCUAGUUCUGCCACAUCGAAGACUUUGGAUCCAGAUGGCCACGACUCCUUGUUUAGAUUGCCCCGGGAAUUCAAGCAGCUUCCAUCGUCUGGAUCGACCAAGAUUCGACGAUCUAAGAGGCAGGUAGUGGGAGCGUCAGCUUGGCCGUGAGAAGAUUAGCACAGCACAGGAACGCUACUGCUGUCGCUACUUUCCUUCACACAACUCCGGCUAUCGAGUUCUUCCCAGUUUGCUUGAUUGUCUUGCGGUGAGAGGAGGGAGAAAGAGAAGCAGCAGCAGCAACAUAUCGAGUCGCUCAACAACAACAAAUAUCAAGGAUGGAGCUGUUCUCAUUCCGAUGCUUCUUCCAGAAAGGGCAGGAAGGUGGCGAGUGAGGCUGAAGAACUCCACGUUAGUGAUGAUCCUUGGCCGGAUAAGUUGAAGAGGAAGGCCCAACCAGAAACUCGCUUUCGGAACCCGAGGGCUAGUUUCCUUGACACCACAAGAGAUGAUAGCGUCUUAAGUCUGAAGAGCUUUCUGCAGAAGCAAAUGGCUCGACUUUUAGAUCGCUCUGUUCCAGAGCGUUCCCAGCGAGAAGAGCGCCAGCAUUUCCAGAACAGCUCAGAGAGAGCUCAUCAAGCAAAAGCAAACACCACCGACCAAAAAAGCCUAAGUAGCUGCUUAUAACUUCCGUCGGAGUUUUCAGGCAACUUGCUGGCCAUUGGGAAAAGAAGAAGAAGCAUUUUAUGGUCGCAAUGGCUGAUAAUGUGAAGCUCUCAUCUUGUGUCUUCUACUGAUAUGGGAAUUCCGGAUCUAUGCGUCUGAGCCAACUGUAAGAAACCCACUUUAAAGUUUUUGCUUGAAAUUGAGAGGAAACCUUUAUGUCACAAUGUCAUUGUGGCAC